GUGCCUGCCGCCGCGGUACUACGGAGGGUGCAAGCGUUGUCCGGAAUCACUGGGCGUAAAGGGUGCGCAGGCGGGGCAGCAAGUCGGAGGUGAAAGCCCAUGACUCAACCAUGGAAGUGCCUUCGAAACUGUUGCUCUUGAGUCCCGGAGAGGCUGUCGGAAUUCGUGGUGUAGCGGUGAAAUACGUAGAUAUCACGAGGAACACCAGAGGCGGAAGCGGACAGCUGGACGGGUACUGACGCUCAGGCACGAAAGCGUGGGGAGCAAACAGGAUUAGAUACCCGAGUAGUCC
This 292-nucleotide ribosomal RNA is filed under the name uncultured bacterium. RNAcentral's name for it is "partial 16S ribosomal RNA". It matches the Rfam family "Bacterial small subunit ribosomal RNA", at positions 505 to 796 of the family's 1533-position model. The record is from RNAcentral.